ACUUUAUAGACUGUAGUAUAGUCAUAUUGUAGUCUAUAAAAUAGAUUGCCAGUGAUUUCAAACAACAAUAACAAUUUUUGAUACAGAAAAUAUGACUGACCACUGUGAGCUACCUCUUGCUGUUUGCCUGUCGAUGCAUUGUCCAUCCCCAUUCUAGUUGAUCCCAUCAUGAGUACUAGCCAUCCCCUGUAGAUGACCCCAUAAAUACAUACUAAAAGUAGUAUCCAUCACAAAUAUCCUAUGUGGACUUCUGUAGCUUGCUUAAAACAAACAAACACAUUAAGCUCAGAGAGACAUUGAAAUACAGAUGGAAUAUUAUUAACCUGAAAUGCAUGAGACAGAAUGUUUCAGAUAUUAAAUAUUUUCAGAUUUUGAAAUACCAUGAUAUAAUGAAAAUUAAGAGAAAUAAAAGAAAAAAUUCAUUAUCAGAUCCAUUUAAAAUCUUUAAUGAUAUAUGAACAAUACAACAAAGUAAGUAGUCAGACACUCGCACUAACAAUAUGUGAUUGUUUACUGAAUCACAGUCUUAUGCCACACUUGCAUGCACACUAUUGUGUCAUCUCAUGGCACAAACAGUGAGUCUCAAUCCUAUCUCAAGAAGCUCCCGAUUAUGAAAAUAAAGUUAUUAAUUUUAGGAUAUUUCAGAUUUUGGAUUAGGUAUACUCAACCUGUAAUCAGAGAAACACAUAAUAUAAUAGUUUGUUCCUAUAAUAUCCUAAAAUCUCAUAAUAUGAAAUCAUAUUAUAUGGACUAAGAAUCGAUAUUAAAAAG
Molecule: long non-coding RNA, 771 nt
Filed under: Androctonus crassicauda
Lineage: Eukaryota; Metazoa; Arthropoda; Arachnida; Scorpiones; Buthidae
Source: RNAcentral